Molecule: long non-coding RNA, 496 nt
Organism: Sander lucioperca (pikeperch)
Lineage: Eukaryota; Metazoa; Chordata; Actinopteri; Perciformes; Percidae
Exons: 3
Source: RefSeq, a predicted model, not a curated record
AAUCAAUCAAUCAAUCAAAUUUAUUUAUAAAGCACUUUAAAAAGCCACCAACGUUGCACAAGGUGCUGUACAGAACAAAGUAGAAAUCAUGUAAAACAUUUACAACAUCUAACAUUUAAAACAUAAAACAGUAUCACAGUAAAAAUUGUUGCACAAAAAUGUCAGCCUCAGCUGGGAAAGGCCAAGGAAAAAAGGUGGGUUUUAAGAAGAGAUUUAAAAUUAGACAGUGAAGAAGCCUGUCUAAUAGGCAGAGGUAGGUCAUUCCAUAUUUUUGGAGCUGCCACAGGCACGAUCCCCUUUAAGUUUCCACUUCGUUUUAGGGACACUCAGGCGCAGUUGUUCAGCUGAUCUGAGUGAGCGGGUCGGAGUGUAGGGGUGAAGCAACUCGGACAGGUAGGAUGGGGCAAGACCAUUUAUAGAUUUAAACACAAGUAAAUACAUUUUAAAAUGGAUCCUAAAAUAUACGGGCAGCCACUUGUAAGUAUCAUCAUAAUAA